Long non-coding RNA from Beta vulgaris subsp. vulgaris (sugar beet), 467 nucleotides. RefSeq lists it as uncharacterized. The record is from RefSeq and is a predicted model, not a curated record. The transcript has 2 exons. NCBI's taxonomy places the organism in Eukaryota, Viridiplantae, Streptophyta, Magnoliopsida, Caryophyllales, Amaranthaceae.
GAAUAAUAUAAGUUGGAUCGUUGCUAAAAAAAGAAGAAAAAUAUAUUCGAGUGUGAUCUCUAUAUAAAGGUGACCAAACAUAGGAUUAUUUAGUACAAAACCAGUCGGAGUACAUCGAAGCACUUGCAAGUUAAGAAAAUAAUAAUCAAAGAUGGCCAACAUUCAACAAUCUAGCAAAGCAAAGCUUCAGAUAGUGCUCAACUAUGGAAAUGUUCCUAUUAAGGUUUUUGGAGACAUAAUUGGUUCACGGUACGUAAAUGAUCGAGUUGAGUUUUUUUAUCAUCCAAGUGGUAAAGAUGUUAUGGUAACUCCUGGGAAAGACAUGCCCUUAAAUAUGUCGGAGGUGAAUAUACCUACAAAUGUGGAUCAUCUUUUAAUCGAUGCACGUUUGUGGCAUGGUAGUCAACAAAUUAUAGGUGGCAGCUAUAGCUUUGGAAUUGGAGAACCAGGCAAAAGUGAUCAGCAUA